RNAcentral lists this ribosomal RNA (497 nucleotides) under uncultured bacterium. RNAcentral describes it as "partial 16S ribosomal RNA". It matches the Rfam family "Bacterial small subunit ribosomal RNA", at positions 28 to 507 of the family's 1533-position model. The record is from RNAcentral.
GAUGAACGCUGGCGGCGUGCCUAAUACAUGCAAGUCGAGCGGACGGACGAGAAGCUUGCUUUUCUGAUGUUAGCGGCGGACGGGUGAGUAACACGUGGAUAACCUACCUAUAAGACUGGGAUAACUUCGGGAAUCCGGAGCUAAUACCGGAUAAUAUUUUGAACCGCAUGGUUCAAAAGUGAAAGACGGUCUUGCUGUCACUUAUAGAUGGAUCCGCGCUGCAUUAGCUAGUUGGUAAGGUAACGGCUUACCAAGGCAACGAUGCAUAGCCGACCUGAGAGGGUGAUCGGCCACACUGGAACUGAGACACGGUCCAGACUCCUACGGGAGGCAGCAGUAGGGAAUCUUCCGCAAUGGGCGAAAGCCUGACGGAGCAACGCCGCGUGAGUGAUGAAGGUCUUCGGAUCGUAAAACUCUGUUAUUAGGGAAGAACAUAUGUGUAAGUAACUGUGCACAUCUUGACGGUACCUAAUCAGAAAGCCACGGCUAACUACGUG